Molecule: transfer RNA, 67 nt
Filed under: Fissurella volcano
Lineage: Eukaryota; Metazoa; Mollusca; Gastropoda; Lepetellida; Fissurellidae
Description: tRNA-Gly
Source: RNAcentral
AUUUGUUGAGUAUGAGUAGUACGGUUGCCUUCCAAGCAGAAAGUUUAAGAGUGCCUUAAAACAAAUA